This 444-nucleotide ribosomal RNA is filed under the name Triticum aestivum (bread wheat). RNAcentral describes it as "partial small subunit ribosomal RNA". Lineage: Eukaryota; Viridiplantae; Streptophyta; Magnoliopsida; Poales; Poaceae. The record is from RNAcentral.
AUGGAAAACUCUCUCAAAACUGUACUCAGCGAAGGAAAUGUCAUGUUAAUAGCUAAAACAGAGGAGAGAGUUGGUGAACUCAGACAAGGGGAAAAUUCUGUGAUGGAGUAUGUUGCUGAACUGCAGCGUUUGUGGGAUGAUUUAAAUCACUAUGAUCCUCUGGAUUGGCCACAUGCAGAUUGCAUAGCAGCUGCUAGAAAAUGGAUUGAACGGAGGCGAGUGAUGCAGUUUCUCAAAGGUUUGAGCUCUGAAUUUGAGGCGAGAUGUGCUACUUUAUUUCAUCAACCUACUCUUCCUACCUUAGAGGAUGCCAUAGCAGCAAUGGCACAGGAGGAGGUCCGAUUAAAGUUGAUGAAGAACAAUACAAUGACUCCAUCUCAUCCAGCCUUCAUAGCAACUGACUAUAAGAGCAGAGAGUGCUUCAACUGCAGCGAGAAGGGCUAG